AGAGUUUGAUCAUGGCUCAGAACGAACGCUGGCGGCAUGCCUAACACAUGCAAGUCGAACGAGAAAGCUCCUUCGGGAGUGAGUAGAGUGGCGAACGGGUGAGUAAUACAUGGGAACGUACCGUAAGAUCAUGGAUAACCGUUGGAAACGACGGCUAAUACAAGAUAGUCUCGCAAGAGUAAAGAUAGCUAGUUCUGCUAGCCUUCGUCUUUCGAGCGGCCCAUGUCCCAUUAGCUUGUUGGCGGGGUAAUGGCCCACCAAGGCUACGAUGGGUAGCUGGUCUGAGAGGAUGAUCAGCCACACUGGAACUGAGACACGGUCCAGACUCCUACGGGAGGCAGCAGUGGGGAAUAUUGCACAAUGGGCGCAAGCCUGAUGCAGCAAUGCCGCGUGAGUGAAGAAGGCUCUUGGGUCGUAAAGCUCUUUCGACAGGGAAGAAGGGUUUCGUGUUAAUAGCACUGAGAUUUGACGGUACCUGCAGAAGAAGCACCGGCUAAUUCCGUGCCAGCAGCCGCGGUAAUACA
RNAcentral lists this ribosomal RNA (524 nucleotides) under uncultured bacterium. Its description in RNAcentral is "bacterial SSU rRNA". It matches the Rfam family "Bacterial small subunit ribosomal RNA", at positions 8 to 527 of the family's 1533-position model. The record is from RNAcentral.